CAUUAAAGAAUAAACUUGGUGGGUUGCUGCUGGCUUUCUCUGAUAGCACUGUGCACACUCGUCAUUUUUACUUUUCCACCUGUGCACCUUCUGUAGACCCCUCCUGGCUCAUCGAGAGGAGUAAUUCUUUCGGAGUUGAGGUUUGCUGUGCGACCUUGGUUGUCAGCUUUCCUGUUUCACAACAUCCAGUGGGUCUACGUUAUUACACAUACCCCAAACGAAUGUAUUAGAACGAUAGCAAGGCCCUAAAAAGCCUAUAAAAUCUAUACAACUUUCAGCAACGGAUCUCUUGGCUCUCGCAUCGAUGAAGAACGCAGCGAAAUGCGAUAAGUAAUGUGAAUUGCAGAAUUCAGUGAAUCAUCGAAUCUUUGAACGCACCUUGCGCUCCUUGGUAUUCCGAGGAGCAUGCCUGUUUGAGUGUCAUUAAAUUAUCAACUACUACUUCAUUUUUUGUUAAAUGUUGAAGUAGCUUGGAAUUGGGAGCUUUGUGGGCCUCAUCGUCUGCUCUCCUUAAAUGUAUUAGCUGGAAUGCCCCUGCAGUCCAUCUGUUAGUGUGAUAAUUAUCUACGCUAUGAAGAUGAGACAGCCUUUGAGUGGGACUCUGCUUCUAAACUGGUUGGGCAUUAAAACCCUGACUAUUAAACGAUCAUUUGACCU
RNAcentral lists this ribosomal RNA (657 nucleotides) under Conocybe sp. TRTC156993. RNAcentral's name for it is "eukaryotic LSU rRNA". The stretch from base 270 to 423 matches the Rfam family "5.8S ribosomal RNA". Lineage: Eukaryota; Fungi; Basidiomycota; Agaricomycetes; Agaricales; Bolbitiaceae. The record is from RNAcentral.